CUAUGUUUUAUUAUUUCAUUUCAGUACAUGUAGCAUUUGAAUAUAAAGUGUAUAAUAAACUUAUAUUUCACAUUAUAUAUGCCAACUUUAUCUUUAGUACUCUUUCUUCCUCUCUGUACUUCUAUCAACUUUGAUUUACUCUCUCCCUCUCUGCUCAUUGGCUAAUUCUUUCCCGCCUUUUUUGGAGUAGCAGUAAUGCCAAUUCAUGUACCCCCUUUAGGGAUGCUUUUGUACUAUGAUGUGCACCAUUGCACCUUUAUUGUUAGCUAGGGAGAAAGUCCAGUGACUCAUGACACUGGCAGUAGCCAGGGCAUUCCCACUGCUUGUUGUUGAGGAGGAGACUUGUCCCUACAGAAGGAAGUUUAAUUUUGAAGUAGAGAAGACUUCUGCAAGGACUUCCCUUGAUGUUCAAUUUUACUUUAGAUGUUGAGGCAAAAUGCAGAAUUAGUGUCUGACCGAGGCUGUUUUCCUUUGGUGAAUAAAAGAGUUCAAUGAAACCGCAGCCCUCGUGAGUCGUGUCAGUGUUGUGGUCGUCGGCGCGAACCCUUUCA
RNAcentral lists this long non-coding RNA (551 nucleotides) under Lytechinus variegatus (green sea urchin). RNAcentral's name for it is "uncharacterized LOC121419856". Lineage: Eukaryota; Metazoa; Echinodermata; Echinoidea; Temnopleuroida; Toxopneustidae. The record is from RNAcentral.